GAAGCAAUCAUUCCCGACCAGAAAACAAAAUGGAAAAAAGCCCCACACCCCCAUCGUCUUUCACCAGGACCCCAAUCCACCCCUGCAUCAUGCCGCCGCCCAAGCGUGCUCCCACCAGCGCGCCGCCGCCUCCUUCCUCCUCCGGCCAAGCUCGCCGCCGCCCCCGGUCCUCCUUCCUCCUCCGGCCAAGCUCGCCGCCGCCCCCGGUCCUCCUUCCUCCUCCGGCCAAGCGCGCCGCCGCCCCCGGUCCUCCUUCCUCCUCCGGCCAAGCGCGCUGCUGCCCCUGCCCCCCUCCUCCGGCCAAGCGCGCCACCGCCCCCGGUCAUCGUGGCACGCCAUCGCCGCCGGUGCGCCUUACCUCGUGCGCAGCCAUGGCCCCUGAUGCACCCCCACUGCUACCCUGUCCGCGGAUCCCCACGGACGGCGUCGAGGUCAUGGAGGUCGCCGCCUCCCGCGGCCAUGGCAAAAACACCUCCGCCGCUGGGCUAGCUCUAGCGCCCCCCCGUCCCAUCUGCCCUCCCCCACCAGCAACUCUACUAGCGCGUCCGAUGCUCCCUCCGGCGAGCAGCUGCGCGCCACGGGAUAGCGCCCCCCCCCCCCCCCCCCCCCCCGCGCCCCCCCCCCCCCCCCCCCCGGUCCUCUGCAUCCCGGUUUCUCUUCGUUACGACAUUCACACGAGGGAGGUUGGAUGAACUGCACGAAAAAAUGCUCAGUUCUACAGACAGCCCCCGCCGACCACACGGACUACUUCCUCCGGUCCUCAUCCAGCGGCCAAAUCCCGGCACACCUGAUAGUUCAAACUUACACCGACUGGCCUGCGACCAACUGCCCCGCCUCUACAAGCUCCUCGGGAAUGACUUGGUAGUAGAUGGGAUCCCCCUACAUCGGCAAAAUCCCGGCGCACCCAGCCGCCGCUCGUGAUCCCCGCUCCUUCAGCUCGACUUCGUCGGCGCAGUCAGUCCACAGGAGUAGGAGCGGCAUGCCCGGCAACAAACAAGAACAUAAGGCAUGUGGUCGGAAAUUUAAAGUUCUGCAUACAUUUGCCAAAGUUGUAGCUUCUUUCAAAGUUCAAAAUGAAAAAGAUAUUUAUUUCAACUUGUUCUAGCAAACCAUGUGUGAGACAUUGGCAGCAUGUCUACACACUAUGUAGCGCAGAAUAAUGUCCGGCGUAGUCAAACUCCUAUCCCUGUUUGGGUAGAUAGUCUAAACAGGACAAUGUCAAUCUCAUAAAUCCAUUUCUCUAUUCACCAAAUGUUCUUUGGAGAUAACAACCCCUGUAGUCCCUCAAUCUCUCAAAUUUGUUUGAAGCUGAGUGUACUUAUUCUGAUGCUCUGGUUGACCUUAUGCUUGCAGCUGAGUUGGACUUCCUCCUAUUCAAAUGCUUGCAACUUUUAAUUAUGUUUUCUUCGAAAGAUAGUUGCUGUAAAGUAGUACAUGUGCUAGCAUUUCAGUAUAGCUUCCAAAAAAAUGUGGUUAGAGUUCUCAAUUUGUUUAGAAGAAGAUAGGACGGGAAAUCUUGAAUGGAAAGCUCAUAUGAGUGUGGAUAGUUUGAGUAAAUUGGUGACGGGUGGAGAUCAUUCCUGUUGAUUAUUUUUUACAAUAAUUAUAGGUCCACUAGAGAAUUUCUUGAAGAUUAGAUAGGAGUGAAAAAAAAGUUUAGAAGUGAUGCUAAAAACUGAGACGUUUCAAAUUUAACAUUAUCUAAUUUCUUUUCUAUUAUUUUCUUUAGUUUUGGUGUCUGAAUUUGUGGAUAUAUGCAUUACAGCGGGUCCCAAUAUUUAUUUCUUCAAUUCUCUAACAAACAAGAGCUCUUUUUCAGUUCAUAAAAAAAUCACAUACAGUUUUCUCUAGCAAUUCAUGAUGCUUCUUCAGCGAGGACACCGUGCUGCACUGGCACCGCCACACAUGUCCGGUUUUCUCUAGUAUAUUUGAUGUAUGACCUGCAGUAGUUCUUCAGUGCACACAGGAAAAAAACUAGCAUUUCGAUUAGUAAAUUAUUUUUUUAGUUCAGUUCAAUUAAUAAAAUUACUUUAGUUCAAAAUGUUACUCCCUCCUUCCCAUAUUGUUAGGCGCUUUAGAUUUCAGCACGAAAAUUAGCGCACAUCGUUUGUUACUCGAGCUAACGUACAGGUACGAGAGACGGAGGCAUGCACGACCUCAAAAAAAGGAAAGGGAGGCAUGCACGAUCUCCUUGACCACGUCUUUUAACUGCACGAUCCCUUCAUUACCUACUAGUACUCCUUAAUUUCUAGGAAUUUAGCGAUCGUCAGGAUAUUUUAACUGCUCGAGAGAAGGAUUUGUUUGCAUGUGCCUUACAUGUUGGGAUUGCAUGCAAAAGCUAAUACGCCUAACAAUUUGGGAAGGAGGGAGUACUAAAUUUACUUCAGUUCAAACUAGCAAUGGUAACGAGCUGUUCAAUGUGGAGUUCGUGCAACAUAUAAUGCAAAGUAGAUAGCUGCAGGAAGAAAGGUACUUUAUUUGAUUUAGUUCUCCCAUGAUGCUUGUGUAUUUCAAUCCUCUAAGUUGCAUUGCAAACGGCCAACAGUAGGGUUUUUUCAAUGCUUUUAUUGGAAUUUUCAAUGUAUAGUUGCAUUUCUUUUGCAUCUCCUCACUGAUAGCUGAACCCUGCUACUACUUCUUGGUGGGAAUGGUUUGAUAUGUAUGUCACUGCCUAGUAUCAUAAAUAUCCUAGCUAAAUAGAUCAUGAUUUUCUCGCUUUCGCCUAUGUCUCUUAUUGUGUUACCCCUUCCUCUUUUCAUAUAGCAUAUUCUGAACAUCAGAUGCUUUCAAAAAUGUGUCGUGCAAGUCCAAGUAUAAGUACUGCAGGAGUUCAAAAAAUCUAACAAUUUAAGCUCAACCCAAUUUCAAAGAACUGUUUUCCUUCAUAAAUUGUAUUUUUGUUAGUUUGUUGUCAUGGACAGUACAGAUUCACAUUGCUCUGUAGUACAUGUGUCCAUUGAUGUGUUCGAAUCCCUUCCGUUCACUUUGAUUCCUACAGGUGGUUCAAUGUGUCGAGCGGCAGCAGCACUUGAUCCCUAGUGGUUGCCCGCGCAAGGAGGAUACAGGGACGCUACAGUGGUGGAGUCAGUACAUGUAGUAGCUAGCUCAAGAAAAGGAGGUUCAAAGACUGCCGUGUAGCAAGUUCAAGAGUUUAGUUUUGUGAAAUAAGUGAUUUCUUGGUUAAUGCAAUCCUCAUGUGGAAGCACUAAAGCACGCUACCUGUUGAACUGAUACCGAAGACAAGGAGCAGGACCAAGUGUGCUGGAAGUUUUUUUGUACCCAUGUGCGGAAGCACUUUAUUUUUUUGAUAAUUAUUAUUGUGUUCAUGUGGGAAACUUCAAAAACAUCUUGUUUAAUAAGUUAUUGAGCUAAAAAUGGUAUGGUUCAUACAUUCUCGUCGAUCUCGUUGUAAUUGUCCUUGUUUUUGUUUCCUGA
Long non-coding RNA from Triticum urartu, 3435 nucleotides. RefSeq lists it as uncharacterized. Lineage: Eukaryota; Viridiplantae; Streptophyta; Magnoliopsida; Poales; Poaceae. The record is from RefSeq and is a predicted model, not a curated record.